Molecule: ribosomal RNA, 465 nt
Filed under: Vreelandella stevensii
Lineage: Bacteria; Pseudomonadati; Pseudomonadota; Gammaproteobacteria; Oceanospirillales; Halomonadaceae
Description: partial 16S ribosomal RNA
Rfam family: Bacterial small subunit ribosomal RNA
Source: RNAcentral
CCUACGGGUGGCUGCAGUGGGGAAUAUUGGACAAUGGGGGGAACCCUGAUCCAGCCAUGCCGCGUGUGUGAAGAAGGCCCUCGGGUUGUAAAGCACUUUCAGUGAGGAAGAACGCCUGGUGGUUAAUACCCAUCAGGAAAGACAUCACUCACAGAAGAAGCACCGGCUAACUCCGUGCCAGCAGCCGCGGUAAUACGGAGGGUGCGAGCGUUAAUCGGAAUUACUGGGCGUAAAGCGCGCGUAGGUGGCUUGAUAAGCCGGUUGUGAAAGCCCCGGGCUCAACCUGGGAACGGCAUCCGGAACUGUCAAGCUAGAGUGCAGGAGAGGAAGGUAGAAUUCCCGGUGUAGCGGUGAAAUGCGUAGAGAUCGGGAGGAAUACCAGUGGCGAAGGCGGCCUUCUGGACUGACACUGCCACUGAGGUGCGAAAGCGUGGGUAGCAAACAGGAUUAGAUACCCCGGUAGUC